CCCAUGGUGUACUUAGUACGGCGAGUGAGCGGUAAAAGCUCAAAUUUGAAAUCUGGUACUUUCAGUGCCCGAGUUGUAAUUUGUAGAAUUUGUCUUUGAUUAGGUCCUUGUCUAUGUUCCUUGGAACAGGACGUCAUAGAGGGUGAGAAUCCCGUUUGGCGAGGAUACCUUUUCUCUGUAAGACUUUUUCGAAGAGUCGAGUUGUUUGGGAAUGCAGCUCAAAGUGGGUGGUAAAUUCCAUCUAAAGCUAAAUAUUGGCGAGAGACCGAUAGCGAACAAGUACAGUGAUGGAAAGAUGAAAAGAACUUUGAAAAGAGAGUGAAAAAGUACGUGAAAUUGUUGAAAGGGAAGGGCAUUUGAUCAGACAUGGUGUUUUUUGCAUGCACUCGCCUCUCGUGGGCUUGGGCCUCUCAAAAAUUUCACUGGGCCAACAUCAAUUCUGGCAGCAGGAUAAAUCAUUAAGAAUGUAGCUACUUCGGUAGUGUUAUAGCUUUUUGGAAUACUGUUAGCCGGGAUUGAGGACUGCGCUUCGGCAAGGAUGUUGGCAUAAUGGUUAAAUGCCGCCCGUCUUGAACCAACGGACCA
Molecule: ribosomal RNA, 585 nt
Filed under: Hanseniaspora uvarum
Lineage: Eukaryota; Fungi; Ascomycota; Saccharomycetes; Saccharomycodales; Saccharomycodaceae
Description: partial large subunit ribosomal RNA
Rfam family: Eukaryotic large subunit ribosomal RNA
Source: RNAcentral